Patella vulgata (common limpet) is the source of this 744-nucleotide long non-coding RNA. RefSeq lists it as uncharacterized. The record is from RefSeq and is a predicted model, not a curated record. Lineage: Eukaryota; Metazoa; Mollusca; Gastropoda; Patellidae. The transcript has 3 exons.
UAGGGUGGUAUAUUCUCUUUAAGUAUUUGGUGUGAUAUUCUCUUUAAGUAUUUUAUCCAGUUCUAUUGUCCUGUAUAUCCAGUAAGUUUUGUUUUUCCAGUUGGUAUAAUUAGUUUAGUUUAUAGUUUAAACAUGUUAUUUUAACAUGGUGAGUAGUAUUCUGUUACUUAGAUACUGUCCUAACAUCAUGUUUCACCUUUAGUCACUUUUUCUUAGAUCUCCAUCUUGAAGGCAACAAUUUCUUUCUACAGCACUGCAUUUACUAAUUCGGUGUUUCUCUCUUUUGUACCUGUAUAUGGUUUCCUUAUACAUUAUUAGUUCUAAUUCUUCAUUUCUUAAGAGCACCUUUAUCAGGUGCUCUUCUUCUUGUCUUCUACUUGUUCUUCUUUCUGUAAAUAAUUGGCUGUUUUGUUCCUGUGUAUUGUAAAUAAACUGUAUAGCUGUGUUCCUGUCUUUGUCUCUUUUCGUUCAACCCGCGACCUGGAAAGGGGAUAGUCCGUUGUCCAUCGAUCCUGCUACAUAAAUUUCACAUUUUUCGACACUAAUCAAUUUCUCAAAACAUAAACAUUAUCACUGCGCUUGCGUAAGUUGGGUCACUCGUAUAUCAUGUAGGGGUAUAAGGUAUUCCACAAAUCGGGUGCAUUCGGUUAAUAAUGCUUAGCGCGGGAGGAUUCGCAGGUUUGUUUUGCGGCAGUGCGAGUGUAUGUGUGUGUGCGUGUGAUUGUGUGCGUAUUUGUGUGUGUU